This 517-nucleotide ribosomal RNA is filed under the name uncultured bacterium. RNAcentral's name for it is "partial 16S ribosomal RNA". It matches the Rfam family "Bacterial small subunit ribosomal RNA", at positions 28 to 523 of the family's 1533-position model. The record is from RNAcentral.
GACGAACGCUGGCGGCGUGCCUAAUACAUGCAAGUCGAGCGGACCGGAUUGGGGCUUGCCUCGAUUCGGUCAGCGGCGGACGGGUGAGUAACACGUGGGCAACCUGCCCGCAAGACCGGGAUAACUCCGGGAAACCGGAGCUAAUACCGGAUAACACCGAAGACCGCAUGGUCUUCGGUUGAAAGGCGGCCUUUGGGCUGUCCCUUGCGGAUGGGCCCGCGGCGCAUUAGCUAGUUGGGGAGGUAACGGCUCACCAAGGCGACGAUGCGUAGCCGGCCUGAGAGGGUGACCGGCCACACUGGGACUGAGACACGGCCCAGACUCCUACGGGAGGCAGCAGUAGGGAAUCUUCCGCAAUAGGCGAAAGCCUGACGGAGCGACGCCGCGUGAGCGAAGAAGGCCUCCGGGUCGUAAAGCUCUGUUGUGAGGGACGAAGGAGCGCCGUUCGAAGAGGGCGGCGCGGUGACGGUACCUCACGAGAAAGCCCCGGCUAACUACGUGCCAGCCGCCGCCGUAA